RNAcentral lists this ribosomal RNA (604 nucleotides) under uncultured bacterium. Its description in RNAcentral is "bacterial SSU rRNA". The stretch from base 1 to 533 matches the Rfam family "Bacterial small subunit ribosomal RNA", at positions 338 to 873 of the family's 1533-position model. The record is from RNAcentral.
CCUACGGGAGGCAGCAGUAAGGAAUAUUGGUCAAUGGACGAAAGUCUGAACCAGCCAUGCCGCGUGAAGGAUGAAGGCCCUCUGGGUUGUAAACUUCUUUUAUCUGGGACGAAAAAAGGGAAUUCUUUCUCACUUGACGGUACCAGAGGAAUAAGCACCGGCUAACUCCGUGCCAGCAGCCGCGGUAAUACGGAGGGUGCAAGCGUUAUCCGGAUUUACUGGGUUUAAAGGGAGCGUAGGUGGGCAGGUAAGUCAGUGGUGAAAUCUCCGGGCUUAACCCGGAAACUGCCAUUGAUACUAUCUGUCUUGAAUAUUCUGGAGGUAAGCGGAAUAUGUCAUGUAGCGGUGAAAUGCUUAGAUAUGACAUAGAACACCAAUUGCGAAGGCAGCUUACUACGGGAUUAUUGACACUGAGGCUCGAAAGCGUGGGGAUCAAACAGGAUUAGAUACCCUGGUAGUCCACGCCCUAAACGAUGGAUACUCGACAUCAGCGAUACACUGUUGGUGUCUGAGNGAAGANAUAGUAUACCACCUCGGAGACGANCGCAGAUAGAACACAAGAAGUAGAGCGUGAGAGAGCGACGGACGACGACGAGGGAGGAGG